GGUGAACGCUGGCGGGCAGCCUAAUACAUUCAAGUCGAGCGAAAGGACGAGCAGCUUUGACCUGUAAAGGUAGCGACGGGCGUGUGAGUAACACGUGCAUCGCAAACUUCUUUGACUGGGCUAAUAUCGGGACACAGCAGCCACUAACAGCUAAUACGACCAACCGCAUAGCACAGUAGUGCAUCACGGCUUUCCCGUCUCUUAUAGCAGGAUCCGCAUCGCCUUAGCUAGUUGGUAAGGUAACGCCUUGCCAAGGCAACGUUGCGUAGCCGACCUGCGAGGGUGAUCAGCCACACUGGAACUGAGACACGGUCCAGACUCCUACGGGAGGCAGCAGUAGGGAAUCUUCGGAAAUGGGCGAAAGCCUGACGGAGCCAUACCGCGUGGGUGAUGAAGGUCUUCGGGUUGUAAAGCUCUUUUGUUAGGAAAGAACAGAUGAGUGAGCAACUCUGCACGUUUUGACGGUACCCAAUGAGUAAGCCACGGCUAACUACGUG
RNAcentral lists this ribosomal RNA (497 nucleotides) under uncultured bacterium. RNAcentral's name for it is "partial 16S ribosomal RNA". It matches the Rfam family "Bacterial small subunit ribosomal RNA", at positions 28 to 507 of the family's 1533-position model. The record is from RNAcentral.